AUUGAAAGCUGGGGGCAGGCUUAACACAUGCAAGUCGAGCGGAGUUUUGGUGCUUGCACCAAGAAUUAGCGGCGGACGGGUGAGUAAAGCUUAGGAAUUUGCCUAUUAGUGGGGGACAAAGUUUUGAAAGGAAAGCUAAUACCGCAUAAGUCCUACGGGAGAAAACAGGGGAUUUUUGGACCUUGCGGUAAUAGAUGAGCCUAAGUUGGAUUAGCUAGUUGGUGGGGUAAAGGCCUACCAAGGGGACGAUUUGUAGCGGGUUUGAGAGGAAGAUUCGCCACAAUGGGAAUGAGACACGGCCCAGAAUCCUGCGGGAGGCAGCAGUGGGGAAUAUUGGACCAAGGGGGAAAACCUGAUCCCGCCCUGCCGCGUGUGUGAAAAAAGCCUUUUGGUUGUAAAACACUUUAAACGAGGAAGAGGAAGUUCAGGUUAAUACCCUGGAAGCUUGGACGUUAAUCGCCGAAUAAAC
Molecule: ribosomal RNA, 469 nt
Filed under: uncultured bacterium
Lineage: Bacteria
Description: bacterial SSU rRNA
Rfam family: Bacterial small subunit ribosomal RNA
Source: RNAcentral